AAAAAGGUUAGCCUCAGGAAAUAGGAUUCAUACUUCAUAGUGAAAAAGCAGCAAUUGAUAGUGUAACAACCUGUGCUGUCAAGACUGGUAUACUUAUUCAAGAAUUAAACAUCAAAUGAUUUUGGCUGGGUCUUGGACCAAAUUAAGGUCCUUAUCUUUUGUGUUAUGUAGGACCUUAUUGUUUCUAUCUUUUGUGUUGUUUGUUAAAUGGGUUUUCGUUUCAGGGAGGGUUUAUUAGUAAA
Molecule: unclassified non-coding RNA, 242 nt
Filed under: Hevea brasiliensis (rubber tree)
Lineage: Eukaryota; Viridiplantae; Streptophyta; Magnoliopsida; Malpighiales; Euphorbiaceae
Source: RNAcentral